UGGACACUUUUACGCCUGCUAUGUUAGUUAGGUUAGAUACACACAGACCGCAUAAACCGCAUGAGAGAGUUAUGUAGGCUACACAACACAAUGACGAGAGGGACAGAGACAGUUCGUGAAUCUUCUAGCUUGGAUGGAAGGAUGGCAGGAACAAAUGGAAGGAGUACAUAAGUUAUCCAGCCUGCUGACUAAGAAAUUUCCUGAAAUAUGUCAAUGACCUGAUGCCUCUACAGCAGUGAUUGUCCACCCACUCAGUUACCAGUGUCCUAUUCUGCCACAUUCCAGGGAGAGAGCAGAACCACCCCUCCUUAGAUCCAUACUCAUUGACAGUAAGGUGCAAAACCCUUGUGUCCUAAUUCAACAGACACGUCCCUUG
Long non-coding RNA from Coregonus clupeaformis (lake whitefish), 376 nucleotides. RefSeq lists it as uncharacterized. The record is from RefSeq and is a predicted model, not a curated record. The transcript is spliced from 4 exons. NCBI's taxonomy places the organism in Eukaryota, Metazoa, Chordata, Actinopteri, Salmoniformes, Salmonidae.